GACAUUAAAAAUCAGAUUUGAUUUGAUUUAUUCUAAUCCAUGAGAUGAACGGUCCUUUUCUACCUCUCUUAGAUCUAGUCCAGGGAUUAGAUAAGAAAGGAAGAAGAAAGAGAUUUGAUCUCUUAUCUUCUUCAGUAUAUCUUGGAUUCUUUUUAGAAGAAGAAAGUGGAAAAAAAAAUUCAGAUUUGAUCUGAUUUCAUAGUCCUACUAUGAAUCUGAUUGAUUUUCUUGAGAAGAGAAUCAAAAGAUCAAGCCGAUUCGAUAAUCCAGAGAGCGAUCUCUGCAAUGAAGUUAGCACUCCGGGUGAGAUCAAGUCUUUCUGAUUAGAUUAAUCUUGAUGGAUAUCCGUAGAGAUCGGACAUAUAUGUGGCUCUGCGGGAACCUCACCAGAUUAUCACAGACCAUCGGAUUACAGUGAAGAUCUACCCAUGCAAAGGUAAAAAUUUAAAUUUAAAUCUAAUUUUAUUUUUAGUAUCUUAAUUUUAGCAUGUAAAUAUUUCUGGCA
This 505-nucleotide long non-coding RNA is filed under the name Elaeis guineensis (African oil palm). RNAcentral describes it as "long non-coding RNA (EGUI_LNC014515)". Lineage: Eukaryota; Viridiplantae; Streptophyta; Magnoliopsida; Arecales; Arecaceae. The record is from RNAcentral.